RNAcentral lists this ribosomal RNA (253 nucleotides) under uncultured bacterium. RNAcentral describes it as "partial 16S ribosomal RNA". It matches the Rfam family "Bacterial small subunit ribosomal RNA", at positions 524 to 776 of the family's 1533-position model. The record is from RNAcentral.
UACGGAGGGUGCAAGCGUUAUCCGGAUUCACUGGGUUUAAAGGGUGCGUAGGUGGGUAUGUAAGUCAGUGGUGAAAUCUCCGUGCUUAACAUGGAAACUGCCAUUGAUACUAUGUUUCUUGAAUUUUCUGGAGGUCAGCGGAAUAUGUCAUGUAGCGGUGAAAUGCUUAGAUAUGACAUAGAACACCAAUUGCGAAGGCAGCUGGCUACAGGGAUAUUGACACUGAGGCACGAAAGCGUGGGGAUCAAACAGG